RNAcentral lists this unclassified non-coding RNA (520 nucleotides) under uncultured Entrophospora. RNAcentral's name for it is "SSU rRNA". It matches the Rfam family "Eukaryotic small subunit ribosomal RNA", at positions 569 to 1084 of the family's 1831-position model. Lineage: Eukaryota; Fungi; Glomeromycota; Glomeromycetes; Entrophosporales; Entrophosporaceae. The record is from RNAcentral.
AGCAGCCGCGGUAAUUCCAGCUCCAAUAGCGUAUAUUAAAGUUGUUGCAGUUAAAAGCUCGUAGUUGAAUUUCGGGAUUGACACAUCGGUCGUGCCUUAAGGGGUAUGAACUGGUGUAGUCAAUUUCUCACCUUCUGGAGAACCGCGAUGCCCUUAAUUGGGUGUCGCGGGGAACCAGGACCUUUACUUUGAAAAAUUAGAGUGUUUAAAGCAGGCAUUUUGCUUGAAUACAUUAGCAUGGAAUAAUAAAAUAGGACGGCAUGAUUCUAUUUUGUUGGUUUCUAGGAUCACCGUAAUGAUUAAUAGGGAUAGUUGGGGGCAUUAGUAUUCAAUUGUCAGAGGUGAAAUUCUUGGAUUUAUUGAAGACUAACUACUGCGAAAGCAUUUGCCAAGGAUGUUUUCAUUAAUCAAGAACGAAAGUUAGGGAUACGAAGACGAUCAGAUACCGUCGUAGUCUUAACCAUAAACUAUAGCCGACUAGGAAUCAGACGAUGUUAAUUUUUAAUGUACUUCGUUUGGC